RNAcentral lists this ribosomal RNA (254 nucleotides) under uncultured bacterium. RNAcentral's name for it is "partial 16S ribosomal RNA". It matches the Rfam family "Bacterial small subunit ribosomal RNA", at positions 524 to 776 of the family's 1533-position model. The record is from RNAcentral.
UACGUAGGGUGCGAGCGUUAAUCGGAAUUACUGGGCGUAAAGCGUGCGCAGGCGGUUUUGUAAGCCAGGUGUGAAAUCCCCGGGCUCAACCUGGGAAUGGCAUUUGGGACUGCAAGGCUGGAGUGCGGCAGAGGAGACUGGAAUUCCUGGUGUAGCAGUGAAAUGCGUAGAUAUCAGGAGGAACACCGAUGGCGAAGGCAGGUCUCUGGGCUGACACUGACGCUCAUGCACGAAAGGCGUGGGGAGCAAACAGG